ACAUCCAGCGAACUUGGCAGAGAUGCCUUGGUGCCUUCGGGAACGCUGAGACAGGUGCUGCAUGGCUGUCGUCAGCUCGUGUUGUGAAAUAUUGGGUUAAGUCCCGNAACGAGCGCAACCCUUAUCCUUUGUUGCCAGCGAUUCGGUCGGGAACUCAAAGGAGACUGCCGGUGAUAAACCGGAGGAAGGUGGGGAUGACGUCAAGUCAUCAUGGCCCUUACGAGUAGGGCUACACACGUGCUACAAUGGCGCAUACAAAGAGAAGCGACCUCGCGAGAGCAAGCGGACCUCAUAAAGUGCGUCGUAGUCCGGAUCGGAGUCUGCAACUCGACUCCGUGAAGUCGGAAUCGCUAGUAAUCGUGGAUCAGAAUGCCACGGUGAAUACGUUCCCGGGCCUUGUACACACCGCCCGUCACACCAUGGGAGUGGGUUGCAAAAGAAGUAGGUAGCUUAACCCUCGGGAGGGCGCUUACCACUUUGUGAUUCAUGACUGGGGUGAAGUCGUAACAAGGUAAGCGUAGCGAG
This 525-nucleotide ribosomal RNA is filed under the name uncultured bacterium. RNAcentral's name for it is "bacterial SSU rRNA". It matches the Rfam family "Bacterial small subunit ribosomal RNA", at positions 984 to 1509 of the family's 1533-position model. The record is from RNAcentral.